AUGAUCCUGGCUCAGAAUGAACGUUGGCGGCGUGGAUUAGGCAUGCAAGUCGAACGGGUCCGGCUUCGGCCGGGCCAGCGGCGGAAGGGUGAGUAAGGCGACGGCAACCAACCCCGAGGUUGGGUAUAGCCGCGGGAAACUGCGGGUAAUCCCCAGCGACGUGACGACGCCGGCAUCGGCGUUUCACCAAAGGCUUCGGCCGCCUUGGGACGGGCCGUCGUGGUAUUAGGUAGUUGGCGGGGUUACGGCCCACCAAGCCUGUGAUGCCUACCGGGCGUGCGAGCGUGGCCCGGCACACUGGGACUGAGACACUGCCCAGACUCUUACGGGAGGCUGCAGUCGAGAAUCUUCGGCAAUGGGCGCAAGCCUGACCGAGCGACGCCGCGUGGAGGAUGAAGGCCUUCGGGUUGUAAACUCCUGUCGAGGGGGAGGAAGGGGCAACCUUGACCGAUCCCUGGAGGAAGCACGGGCUAAGUUCGUGCCAGCAGCCGCGGUAAUAC
RNAcentral lists this ribosomal RNA (500 nucleotides) under uncultured soil bacterium. RNAcentral's name for it is "bacterial SSU rRNA". It matches the Rfam family "Bacterial small subunit ribosomal RNA", at positions 13 to 526 of the family's 1533-position model. The record is from RNAcentral.